ACAUUUCUGACUAAACCCAUCAAAAUAUUUAUUUCCUAAUUAAUUAUACAGGUCAGUAUUUUCCAAUUACCAAAUAUUUAGACAUAACAGCUGUGCAAACUGUGGCCGUAUUAUUUUGAAUAUUUUGGUUUAAAAAGUGGGGUACAUUUGUGGAGCUUUUAUUAUUAUGGCUCAUUCAAUUAAUAACCAUCUGUGUUUCAACUGUUACUCUUCCAGCUUUGAUUCAGUCCUUGGCGCAACUCUAGCAGGAGGUGGAGCUUGACAGGCAGCACAUCAGAAACAAUCUAUCAGCACAACUUAUUUUAGACUCUUGAUUGAUGCUGCUCUACAACAUCUAAUUGGGCUCCACUAUCAGCAAUGCAGCUCGUCAUGUUAGUGGUUUUAUUUGUUGGGUUUACUGGUGAAAGUCAUCAGCAAACAAUCCUCUCAAUCCAGGACAGUCCAGUCCAGGCUCUACAAGGAGACGGCGUGACUCUCUCCUGCAACUACUCUUCAGCAACAUACUUCUUCUGGUAUCGGCAGUACCCCAGCUCACCUCCCCAGUUACUUAUCAAAGAUUACAUGGAGCUAUCUGGAUUUACCUUGAAAAAGGACAGUGAAAGAAAAGUGUUUGCUCUCGAGAUCUCCUCUGCUGCAGUGACAGACUCUGCUCUGUACUACUGUGCUGUGCAGCCCACAGUGACAGGAAACACAGACUCCCUGUACAAAAACCUGACAAGGAACUGGAAGAGCAUUUGUCAUUGCUUUCAACUGUGGUUCAGGGGAGGGGCAACUGGAGAGGUGAAUUCACCAGGAGUCUAGUGAAGAAACAGUAUGUUACAACUAGGAUACAGAGGUAGAAUGUUUAGCUUCAGGGCUCCCAUGGGGUUUGAAAUGAUGGCAGUCCUCUUUCUACUUCUAGUUUGUAAAUUAACAGGUAAGUCACAGCCCACCAGAAACUCAAAAAAUUAAAGGGAACAUG
Molecule: non-coding RNA, 961 nt
Organism: Gadus chalcogrammus (walleye pollock)
Lineage: Eukaryota; Metazoa; Chordata; Actinopteri; Gadiformes; Gadidae
Source: the annotation of a RefSeq genome assembly